AACGGUAACAGGAAGAAGCUUGCUUCUUUGCUGACGAGUGGCGGACGGGUGAGUAAUGUCUGGGAAACUGCCUGAUGGAGGGGGAUAACUACUGGAAACGGUAGCUAAUACCGCAUAACGUCGCAAGACCAAAGAGGGGGACCUUCGUGCCUCUUGCCAUCGGAUGUGCCCAGAUGGGAUUAGCUUGUUGGUGGGGUAACGGCUCACCAAGGCGACGAUCCCUAGCUGGUCUGAGAGGAUGACCAGCCACACUGGAACUGAGACACGGUCCAGACUCCUACGGGAGGCAGCAGUGGGGAAUAUUGCACAAUGGGCGCAAGCCUGAUGCAGCCAUGCCGCGUGUAUGAAGAAGGCCUUCGGGUUGUAAAGUACUUUCAGCGGGGAGGAAGGGAGUAAAGUUAAUACCUUUGCUCAUUGACGUUACCCGCAGAAGAAGCACCGGCUAACUCCGUGCCAGCAGCCGCGGUAAUACGGAGGGUGCAAGCGUUAAUCGGAAUUACUGGGCGUAAAGCGCACGCAGGCGGUUUGUUAAGUCAGAUGUGAAAUCCCCGGGCUCAACCUGGGAACUGCAUCUGAUACUGGCAAGCUUGAGUCUCGUAGAGGGGGGUAGAAUUCCAGGUGUAGCGGUGAAAUGCGUAGAGAUCUGGAGGAAUACCGGUGGCGAAGGCGGCCCCCUGGACGAAGACUGACGCUCAGGUGCGAAAGCGUGGGGAGCAAACAGGAUUAGAUACCCUGGUAGUCCACGCCGUAAACGAUGUCGACUUGGAGGUUGUGCCCUUGAGGCGUGGCUUCCGGAGCUAACGCGUUAAGUCGACCGCCUGGGGAGUACGGCCGCAAGGUUAAAACUCAAAUGAAUUGACGGGGGCCCGCACAAGCGGUGGAGCAUGUGGUUUAAUUCGAUGCAACGCGAAGAACCUUACCUGGUCUUGACAUCCACGGAAGUUUUCAGAGAUGAGAAUGUGCCUUCGGGAACCGUGAGACAGGUGCUGCAUGGCUGUCGUCAGCUCGUGUUGUGAAAUGUUGGGUUAAGUCCCGCAACGAGCGCAACCCUUAUCCUUUGUUGCCAGCGGUCCGGCCGGGAACUCAAAGGAGACUGCCAGUGAUAAACUGGAGGAAGGUGGGGAUGACGUCAAGUCAUCAUGGCCCUUACGACCAGGGCUACACACGUGCUACAAUGGCGCAUACAAAGAGAAGCGACCUCGCGAGAGCAAGCGGACCUCAUAAAGUGCGUCGUAGUCCGGAUUGGAGUCUGCAACUCGACUCCAUGAAGUCGGAAUCGCUAGUAAUCGUGGAUCAGAAUGCCACGGUGAAUACGUUCCCGGGCCUUGUACACACCGCCCGUCACACCAUGGGAGUGGGUUGCAAAAGAAGUAGGUAGCUUAACCUUCGGGAGGGCGCUUACCACUUUGUGAUUCAUGACUGGGGUGAAGUCGUAACAAGGUAACCGUAGGGGAACCUGCGGUUGGAUCACCUCCUUACCUUAAAGCAGC
RNAcentral lists this ribosomal RNA (1490 nucleotides) under Escherichia coli. RNAcentral's name for it is "bacterial SSU rRNA". It matches the Rfam family "Bacterial small subunit ribosomal RNA". Lineage: Bacteria; Pseudomonadati; Pseudomonadota; Gammaproteobacteria; Enterobacterales; Enterobacteriaceae. The record is from RNAcentral.